RNAcentral lists this small RNA (107 nucleotides) under Marmota monax (woodchuck). Lineage: Eukaryota; Metazoa; Chordata; Mammalia; Rodentia; Sciuridae. The record is from RNAcentral.
GCCAGGCAUGGUGGCUCAGGCCUGUAAUCCCAGUUAUUCAGGUGGCUGAGGCAGGAGGAUCACAGAUUCCAGCCUAGCCUGAGUGACUUCGUGAGACCCUGCCUCAA